RNAcentral lists this ribosomal RNA (443 nucleotides) under uncultured bacterium. RNAcentral describes it as "partial 16S ribosomal RNA". It matches the Rfam family "Bacterial small subunit ribosomal RNA", at positions 338 to 795 of the family's 1533-position model. The record is from RNAcentral.
CCUACGGGUGGCUGCAGUGGGGAAUAUUGGGCAAUGGGCGCAAGCCUGACCCAGCAACGCCGCGUGAAGGAAGAAGGCUUUCGGGUUGUAAACUUCUUUUCUCAGGGACGAAGAAAGUGACGGUACCUGAGGAAUAAGCCACGGCUAACUACGUGCCAGCAGCCGCGGUAAUACGUAGGUGGCAAGCGUUAUCCGGAUUUACUGGGUGUAAAGGGAGUGUAGGCGGGACUGCAAGUCAGAUGUGAAAACCACGGGCUCAACCUGUGGCCUGCAUUUGAAACUGUAGUUCUUGAGUACUGGAGAGGCAGACGGAAUUCCUAGUGUAGCGGUGAAAUGCGUAGAUAUUAGGAAGAACACCAGUGGCGAAGGCGGCUUGCUGGACAGUAACUGACGUUGAGGCUCGAAAGCGUGGGGAGCAAACAGGAUUAGAUACCCUAGUAGUC